AUUGAACGCUGGCGGCAGGCCUAACACAUGCAAGUCGAACGGUAACAGGAAGAAGCUUGCUUCUUUGCUGACGAGUGGCGGCCGUGUGAGUAAUGUCUGGGAAACUGCCUUAUGGAGGGGGAUAACUACUGGAAACGGUAGCUAAUACCGCAUAACUUCUCAAGACCAAAAAGGGGGACCUUCGGGCCUCUUGCCAUCGGAUGUGCCCUGAUGGGAUUAGCUAGUAGGUGGGGUAACGGCUCACCUAGGCGACGAUCCCUAGCUGGUCUGAGAGGAUGACCAGCCACACUGGAACUGAGACACGGUCCAGACUCCUACGGGAGGCAGCAGUGGGGAAUAUUGAGCAAUGGGCGAAAGCCUGAUGCAGCCAUGCCGCGUGUAUGAAGAAGGCCUUCGGGUUGUAAAGUACUUUCAGCGGGGAAGAAGGGAGUAAAGUUAAUACCUGUGCUCAUUGACGUUACCCGCAGAAGAAGCAACGGCUAACUACGUG
Molecule: ribosomal RNA, 490 nt
Filed under: uncultured bacterium
Lineage: Bacteria
Description: partial 16S ribosomal RNA
Rfam family: Bacterial small subunit ribosomal RNA
Source: RNAcentral